Long non-coding RNA from Pezoporus occidentalis (night parrot), 1340 nucleotides. RefSeq lists it as uncharacterized. The record is from RefSeq and is a predicted model, not a curated record. NCBI's taxonomy places the organism in Eukaryota, Metazoa, Chordata, Aves, Psittaciformes, Psittacidae. The transcript is spliced from 3 exons.
GCUGCAUGACUGUAUCAAAUACAGGAUCCUUUCUCCCCCCAAAGCCCUGCAGCCUGCUGAAGGAAGAGGGGUUUUGUGCAGUUAAUGGAGUCAUUUUUGCUGUACUUCAGAGGGUAACUAAUACUGCAGCAUCGUGGCGCAGCUCCCACAACAGGAAUCUGAAGAGCUAAGGUGACUAUAAGCAUUUCUGAAGGGAUCUUGGGAAAAGAGCAGGAGUGCCAGAGGAGAUGAUGCAAGUGUGAUUCAUUUCUCCUUCAGAAAAAAGAUUUUCAGAUGCUCUAGCAAUUUUAAAAGAGAAUUAAAACUUCUGCAAUAUGCUCAUUAGACCACAAUUAGUGAAAGAUGAAGAACUUGAGAUGUAGAGACAAUGGAUUCAGCCCCAUGCUCAGCCAUUUAUUUUUGGCUAAUUAAAAGUGACAGCUUUGGGUCUUGGAAUCCAAAACAGAGACUACAAAGCAUGAGCAGCAGGAGCAAAGAGCUGCUUGGAGGGAGCAGAGCCUGAGGAGCAUCCCCUGCACCCAGCAAUUGAACUCUCACCUGCGUGAAUGGAGCCCAGGCAACUCCCAGGCCGGCAGCACAUGGGGCUGGUGCCUGUGAGUGCCCAGGGCCUGCAGAAAUUUUGCAUUAAUGAUUUGUACCUUGAUAAAUAAUUACAGCAGACCAUUGCGGCUUGAAGAUAUUCCAGAAAAUGGGUGUUCACAAAGGCACCGUGGAAGAAGUCCUUUCCUGGUUUGAAGUGGUGGAAUUGUCAAGGAAUGUCCUUUUCCUUUGCCUCCCUGACUGUCAGAGACCAGGUUUGCAGGGGACCUGGGUUGUUCUCCCACACUGGCCAUCCCACUGGCAGAGGGAAUAUCCUCCAGGAGCGAGCAGGCUCACUCUGUGUCUCAGAGGCUGCUCAGGUUUGCUUUCAGCGUUCCAGCAAUAUUCCAGCCUUCCUUUACCUGCUUAGUAUCAUGAAAUACUGGAGAUAGGGACGACAGGUGAGAGGUCCUUUUAAUGUCCUUCAAGGACCAAUGGGAGGAUUUGGCUGCUUCCUUGUUGUAAAUAAUGCAGAAAAUGAGCAGUUUUUAAAGACUGUCCAGUGGGAUUAGGAAGACUUGUUUUAAUUAUGUGAAAACAGCAUGGGUGCUUAGGCAGAUGUUUGAGCUAAUUGUUUUGAAAGCAGACCCUCUUGGCUAUGAGAGAAUCAUUUGUUUUGACUGAUUUUUUGCAAUUCCCUCCAUACUGCAGGUGAGGUCAUUUUGAUUUCGAUGGGUUUGCUCUCCCUGCCUUCCACCCGCCCUGGCUGUGAUCUGCAGCACCCAUGUUCAUGAUUCUGGGGACCAGGCAUCUCCCUUACC